UGCAUUUCAAUCUUCGCUUUCACAG
Molecule: non-coding RNA, 25 nt
Filed under: Rattus norvegicus (Norway rat)
Lineage: Eukaryota; Metazoa; Chordata; Mammalia; Rodentia; Muridae
Source: RNAcentral